UACGUAGGGUGCGAGCGUUGUCCGGAAUUACUGGGCGUAAAGAGCUCGUAGGUGGUUUGUCGCGUUGUCCGUGAAAACUCACAGCUUAACUGUGGGCGUGCGGGCGAUACGGGCAGACUGGAGUACUGCAGGGGAGACUGGAAUUCCUGGUGUAGCGGUGAAAUGCGUAGAUAUCGAGAGGAACACCUGCGGCGAAGGCGGGUUGCUGGGCCGACACUGACGCUGAUGCGCGAAAGCCAGGGGAGCGAACGGG
This 253-nucleotide ribosomal RNA is filed under the name uncultured bacterium. Its description in RNAcentral is "partial 16S ribosomal RNA". It matches the Rfam family "Bacterial small subunit ribosomal RNA", at positions 524 to 776 of the family's 1533-position model. The record is from RNAcentral.